CCUGAGCUCAAAUGAUCUGCCUGCUUCAGCCUCCCAGAGAGCUAGGAUUACAGGUGUGAGCCACUGCACCCGCCCGAGGACCUUUGGGACUACUAAUGCAAUGUGUCCAUUUGGGGCCCCAUUGCGAAAGAAAAUUGCUUAUUUCAGAGGGGUAUUUUCACCAAUGAUUAAGGAAAUCCCUGGGGUGGGGGGAAUGUUUCUAUCUGAAUCAGAGAGAAAACACUAGAUUUUCAUUUAGUCUUCAUAAUAAUCUUGUGAAGUUGCUACUAAUAUCCUUAUUUUUCCAAAUUAGAAAACCAAAGCAUAAUGAGGCUAGGUGCCUGGUUCAAGAUCAUACAGCUAAAAUUAUUGGACCUGCAAAUCAAGCUCAGGUUGGCAAAGAUCAAGGUUAAAGAAAUUCUUUUUGGAAGGGUGUGGAGAAUGAGGCACUUUUAAACAUUGCUGGUAGGUAUAUGCAUUAGUAUAACUUUUACUGGGGACAACUUGGCAAUAAUCUAUCAAAUUUAUAAAUGUCCAUACCUUUUGACUAAGUAAUUGCACUUCUAGAAAUCUAUACUACAGAUAUAUUUGCACAUUUGCAAAAUAACAUAUGUGCAAGGUUAUGUACUAUGGCAUUGCUUGAAAUACAAUAGAUUGGAAACAACUUAAGUGCUCACCAAUGGAGAACUGAUUAAAUAAAGCUAUAUCUAUUUUAUAUCACCCCAAGAAUGAGGGAACUGUCUACUGAUAGUAAUGAUUUCUAAGAUAUAUUAAGUGAAAUAAGACAGAUCCAGGAAAUAAGUUUGAUAUGCUUUCAUUUAUGGAAAAAUUCCAUAUGCAUAUGCUUUUGUAGGCAUAGACUAUUUCUGGAAGAAUAUACAACAGAUAAUAGUUACCCCUACUAAAGGGUACAAUAUGACUAGGGCUGGGGGGAGGGUGGUUUAGAACAAAAGUGGAGUGAGGACUUUAAUUCUUUUAUAUUUUUAAUCAUAUGAAUGUAUUCGGUAUUCAAGAAAAAUAAGUUGAAUUAAAAUUUAAAAUCCAAAAUAAAGGAAUAAUGGAAAUCAUCCAGGGGGAGGAAGGAGGAGGGGAUGGGCAGAAACCUACCUAACCAGUAAAAUGAAUACUAUCUGGGUGACAGGAAACUCCCAUAACCAUGACACAGCAUUAUAAAAGCAAGUCAUAUAACCAAAAUUAUGUGUACCCUGUAAUACUUUGAAAUGAAAAUAAAUAAAUAAAACACAUGCCGUUUAAGGUACCUUAUGA
Molecule: non-coding RNA, 1245 nt
Organism: Microcebus murinus (gray mouse lemur)
Lineage: Eukaryota; Metazoa; Chordata; Mammalia; Primates; Cheirogaleidae
Source: RefSeq, a predicted model, not a curated record